UACGUAGGGGGCAAGCGUUGUCCGGAAUCAUUGGGCGUAAAGCGCGCGUAGGCGGCCAGAUAAGUCCGGUGUGAAAGUCACAGGCUCAACCUGUGAAUGCCGCUGGAAACUGUCUGGCUUGAGUCCGGAAGGGGCGAGUGGAAUUCCUGGUGUAGCGGUGAAAUGCGCAGAUAUCAGGAGGAACACCAAUGGCGAAGGCAGCUCACUGGAACGGUACUGACGUUGAGGCGCGAAAGCGUGGGGAGCGAACAGG
This 253-nucleotide ribosomal RNA is filed under the name uncultured bacterium. Its description in RNAcentral is "partial 16S ribosomal RNA". It matches the Rfam family "Bacterial small subunit ribosomal RNA", at positions 524 to 776 of the family's 1533-position model. The record is from RNAcentral.